GGGGUCAUAGCUCAGUUGGUAGAGUGUUUGAAUGGCAUUCAAGAGGUCGGGGGUUCGAAUCCCCCUGACUCCACCA
RNAcentral lists this transfer RNA (76 nucleotides) under Rickettsia parkeri. Its description in RNAcentral is "tRNA-Ala". It matches the Rfam family "tRNA". Rfam says of the family: Transfer RNA (tRNA) molecules are approximately 80 nucleotides in length. The record is from RNAcentral. Lineage: Bacteria; Pseudomonadati; Pseudomonadota; Alphaproteobacteria; Rickettsiales; Rickettsiaceae. RNAcentral also lists the same sequence under 1 other name.